UCCACCAGCAUAGCAGCCUCCAUGAGGAAAACAUGAACAAGAUGGCUUGUUUAUCAGAAACCUCCAUCUUCGUCUAUUACUCUCGAUCUUCCAGUAUCUCCGUCUCUCGCUCUCAAUCUUUCCUCCCAUUUAUCGAGAAAGAUUCAUGAAAAUCAACAAGAAGAAUAACUUUUCUCUUUGUCCUGGUCUCUCUACCUCGAUUCAAAGUUAAAUCAUCAUCGUAAUAUCCUUUGAGUUUUGUUCAAAAUCAAUACUUCUAUUUAGCGAUUUUAGAGUUGAUUCAUUAGGUUUUGAUCUUGUUCUGAUUAAUGUUGUUUGUUUGAAGCGACGAAGAAAACCUAAAAUCCAGAACACAGAGUCCUCUUCAAACAUCAUGAUCAAUAGCUGGUGGUCGAGGAAAAUAGUCAGGUAUUUUCGUGUCAGAUGCUGCUGCAAAUACUGAUUGCACAUGCUGUUGUGGGUACUUAUUACAAAUGCUUUUCGAAUCUCUAAGGAAGGAGACUAAGAAGGAAAUAAAUUUACUGGUAAAGGACUUGAAGGUGUUUUGAGGAGAAGGUGUGCGCAUAUGACUGGACUCUUGGGGUUUGAGAACUUCAGGUUGAAGCAUACACCAAUCAAGAAUUUGAUAUACAAUUGCCAAAGCACAUUUUUCCUUCAUAAUUUUUUGUCGGGUUGUAUACAUGCAGUUAAAGGCUGAAUAGAAACUCAUGAGGUGUUUGCGCAAGUGACUUUGCUUCCUGUGAUGGAAGAGGUGUCUGGUAUUUAGAAUGCCUUCCUAAAGCGGCAUGCUGAUGAAUGCCUUCCUGUGCUGGACGUCUCACAAGAACUGGUGGCUAGGGAUUUGCAUGGGUUAGAGUGGCAUUUUCUAUGAAUUUUCUAUGAAUCCAGUCCAUCAUGGAGUCAGUAUUUUUUCCAUACUAAAUAUAUCUGGCACAACGAAAUCAGACUAUGUUUUGUUAAUCAAUCAAUCAAUCCAUUCUUUUUUUUUUUGUGUGUGUGUGUGUGUUUCAUUACAAAAGGUCAUCCGAACCGGCAUUUGUUUACCACUGGUUGGAGUAUUAAUCUGAGCUCGUAAAAGCUUGUUAUUGGAGAUACUUUUGUCUUCCUUAAGUUUUUUUCUCUUUUCUUUUCAUUGCUUCUCAUAGACAUUUACGAUGAGGCUGACCAGUAGUAAUCUGGAUUUUCUUGUUCCAACGGACUUGCUUUAGAACUUAAGUUUCAGCCAUUAAGUUUUAAGGGAUCUUUUGUGCACAUGGGCGAAAAUGGAGAACUUCGUGUGGGUGUUCGACGUGCAAUGGAGACACAAGCUUCUUCAUCCGUUAUAUCUUUUUGCAGCAUACAACUUGGUGUACUUGCCACUGCAUCUCACGUUAUAUCUACUGGGACCAUGCUUAGUGUAUAUUACCGUCCUAGGAUGAGUCCGUCCGAGUUCCUAAUUCCAUACGAUAAAUACAUGAGCUCAGUUAGGAAUAAAUAUUCCAUUGGAGCGAGGUUCAGAAUGAAGUUUGAGGGAGAAGAAGGCCCUAAACAAAGAAUUGUAGAUACAAUAGUUGGAAUUGACGAUGUUGAUCCGGUCAGGUGGCCUAGAUCGGAAUGGAGAUGUCUCCCAUUGCCAUCCUAAAAGAGUUUCUCCUUGGACAAUUGAAUUAUCUGACAAUGCAAGGACCAAUUCUAUUCCAGUACAACUGAGAACGGCAAGAAGGGUCCGAAUCUCCUCAUCUGCUGAUUCAUCUAUCUUGGAUGAUGGUUAGUUUUCAAUGUCUGUCUUCUUUACUUCACAAAUAUCUCUUGGAAGUAACUUAAUUAAACCCAUUUUUGGGGUCCCUUGCAUUCCUGAAAAUAGUAUUAGGAACUUCUUGCUAAUUAGACCUGAAAGUGCUACUUUUAAGGUUAUCAGGGAUGUAUCUUCUGAUGUUAUUAUUGAUGAGGAAAAUCUGAGAGUCCCUUUCAAAGUUUUUCCUGAAA
RNA transcript from Papaver somniferum (opium poppy), 1965 nucleotides. It is a transcript of the gene named auxin response factor 2-like, with no coding region annotated. The record is from RefSeq and is a predicted model, not a curated record. The transcript has 9 exons. Lineage: Eukaryota; Viridiplantae; Streptophyta; Magnoliopsida; Ranunculales; Papaveraceae.